RNAcentral lists this ribosomal RNA (454 nucleotides) under uncultured bacterium. RNAcentral's name for it is "partial 16S ribosomal RNA". It matches the Rfam family "Bacterial small subunit ribosomal RNA", at positions 28 to 507 of the family's 1533-position model. The record is from RNAcentral.
GAUGAACGCUGACAGAAUGCUUAACACAUGCAAGUCUACUUGAACUUCGGUUUGGGUGGCGGACGGGUGAGUAACGCGUAAAGAACUUGCCUCACAGAUAGGGACAACAUUUGGAAACGAAUGCUAAUACCUGAUAUUAUGAUUUUAGGGCAUCCUAGAAUUAUGAAAGCUAUAUGCACUGUGAGAGAGCUUUGCGUCCCAUUAGCUAGUUGGAGAGGUAACGGCUCACCAAGGCGAUGAUGGGUAGCCGGCCUGAGAGGGUGGUCGGCCACAAGGGACAGGAGAGACGGCCCUUACUCAUACGGGCGGGAGGAAGGGGUAAUAUUGGACAAAGGACGAAGAGUCUGAUCAAGCAAUUCUGUGUGGACGAUGAAGUUUUUCGGAGUGUAAAGUGCUUUCAGUUGGGAAGAAGAAAAUGACGGUACCAACAGAAGAAGUCACGGCUAAAUACGUG